Brassica napus (rape) is the source of this 1239-nucleotide long non-coding RNA. RefSeq lists it as uncharacterized. The record is from RefSeq and is a predicted model, not a curated record. Lineage: Eukaryota; Viridiplantae; Streptophyta; Magnoliopsida; Brassicales; Brassicaceae. The transcript is spliced from 4 exons.
CUGAUUAGAAUUGGUUGAAUGAUUGAUUAUACCUAGGUGUAGUUUCUUAUUUUCUGGGUUUUUGAUUAUUAAAAUCUGUAUUCUUUCUAUUUGAUUCAGAAAAAAAAAAAUCUUUUUGAUUCCUGGCGUUUGAUUAUUAAUUAGUUGUUGAUAUUCAAAUGCAUGAUCAGUGUUCAUAGAUUCAUUGGUAAUUAAAUCUUGGAAACAAAAGUUGCUGAUUUGGUUUAAGAUUCCAAGAACAGAUUGUCUGAUAUCUCAGUCAUCUCCAUGUUUGUCUUCGCUUUCCUUCAGAAACUCACUUAGGUCGGACUUUGUAAAUUGCAAUCAUGUGACCGCUUUGCCUUCUGGAGUUUCCAGUAUAUUCGAUAGUUUCAUUUCAGCGUCAUGAUUCAAAUCUCCACUGAGGUUUGAUCUUAUUGGCUUAUUUAAGUGAUUUCUUAAUAAUCCACAGGACCAGUAAGCUUCAUGAAUGAUCAUCUCAAAUCGACUCUGCUUUUUUUUUCCUGAUUGGUGAUCCUUGAUUCUGGCUUUCUUAAUAAGAUCAUUUUUCCGAUAAUUCAUUUUUCCGUCACAAAAAAAAAGGGAACACAUUGAUAAUAUAAUCUCCACGCGUAUUCUUUCUUAUAUAAUUGGUGUGAUCUAAUAUUUUAACAAGCUUCAGUCUUGAUUAAUUUGUGUUUUUGGUUUUUCAUAAGGAAGGUAUGGUGAUGGAGAAUGAGUAAUAUGACACCUUAACCGUCACAACUGAUACUUCCGAAACUAACAUUAAAAAGACAACGCAAGGAAAGUUCAUCGGAGAUUCUCAAGCUACUAAAAACUUUUAGUGGGACUAGCAAGAAAGAUCCCAAGAAGUUUAUCCAUGAAGACCUGGAUUAGUAGUACUGCUAAGUUAACUCUCCAUGUUCUUGGAGCUGAUCUUACCGUCUACCGGUAGAUGCAGCAGUUAUCAGAUGGGCUUAUGCACCCGGUGAAUGAUUACCUUUGCAGGUUUUCAGAAAAAAAGAUUCUCUCAAGCACUUUUUUUUUCUGAAAAAAAUCCCAACACGAAGAGAAUUGUACAACAACAUGUUCUGUUAAGAAGUCAUGACAGACAUGAAAGCUGGAUCAUUGUUUUUAGGUUUUUCUUUGAUGUGUUGGUCUUUAAGGAUACCACUAUCAUGAGUCCAGUUAUUUAUGAAAUAAUUUGAGAAAUUGUAAGUUUGCUUGAGAUGAAAAAAUUAAAAUGUUCUUUUCACUUUA